Molecule: ribosomal RNA, 253 nt
Filed under: uncultured bacterium
Lineage: Bacteria
Description: partial 16S ribosomal RNA
Rfam family: Bacterial small subunit ribosomal RNA
Source: RNAcentral
UACGUAGGGUGCAAGCGUUGUCCGGAAUUAUUGGGCGUAAAGAGCUCGUAGGCGGUUUGUCGCGUCUGCUGUGAAAACUCGGGGCUUAACCCCGGGCCUGCAGUGGGUACGGGCAGACUAGAGUGCGGUAGGGGAGACUGGAAUUCCUGGUGUAGCGGUGGAAUGCGCAGAUAUCAGGAGGAACACCGAUGGCGAAGGCAGAUCUCUGGGCCGUAACUGAUGCUGAGGAGCGAAAGCAUGGGGAGCGAACAGG